CCAAUAGCGUAUAUUAAAGUUGUUGCAGUUAAAAAGCUCGUAGUUGAAUUUCGGGAUUGACACAUCGGUCGUGCCUUAAGGGGUAUGAACUGGCGUAGUCAAUUUCUCACCUUCUGGAGAACCGCGAUGCCCUUAAUUGGGUGUCUCGGGGAACCAGGACCUUUACUUUGAAAAAAUUAGAGUGUUUAAAGCAGGCAUUUUGCUUGAAUACAUUAGCAUGGAAUAAUAAAAUAGGACGGCAUGAUUCUAUUUUGUUGGUUUCUAGGAUCACCGUAAUGAUUAAUAGGGAUAGUUGGGGGCAUUAGUAUUCAAUUGUCAGAGGUGAAAUUCUUGGAUUUAUUGAAGACUAACUACUGCGAAAGCAUUUGCCAAGGAUGUUUUCAUUAAUCAAGAACGAAAGUUAGGGGAUCGAAGACGAUCAGAUACCGUCGUAGUCUUAACCAUAAACUAUGCCGACUAGGAAUCAGACGAUGUUAAUUUUUUAAUGACUCGUUUGGCACCUUACG
Molecule: ribosomal RNA, 506 nt
Filed under: uncultured Glomeromycotina
Lineage: Eukaryota; Fungi; Glomeromycota
Description: partial small subunit ribosomal RNA
Rfam family: Eukaryotic small subunit ribosomal RNA
Source: RNAcentral